GACGAACGCUGGCGGCGUGCUUAACACAUGCAAGUCGAACGGUGAAGCGCCUUCCUUUUUGGUGGGUGUGGAUGAGUGGCGAACGGGUGAGUAACACGUGAGUAACCUGCCCCCUUCUUCUGGAUAACCGCAUGAAAGUGUGGCUAAUACGGGAUAUUCUGGGUCUGUCGCAUGAUGGGUCUGGGAAAGAUAUUGUUUCGGUGGGGGAUGGGCUCGCGGCCUAUCAGCUUGUUGGUGGGGUGAUGGCCUACCAAGGCGGUGACGGGUAGCCGGCCUGAGAGGGUGGACGGGCACACUGGGACUGAGACACGGCCAAGACUCGUACGGGAGGCAGCAGUGGGGAAUAUUGCACAAUGGGCGCAAGCAUGAUGCAGCGACGCCGCGGGAGGGAUGGAGGCCUGCGGGUUGUGAACCUCUUUCGCCAGUGAAGCAGGCCUGCCUCGUUUGUGGGUGGGUUGACGGUAGCUGGAGAAGAAGCGCCGGCUAACUACGUG
Molecule: ribosomal RNA, 494 nt
Filed under: uncultured bacterium
Lineage: Bacteria
Description: partial 16S ribosomal RNA
Rfam family: Bacterial small subunit ribosomal RNA
Source: RNAcentral